CAGCACCUCAAGUGGUCAGGAUGAUUAUUGGGCCUAAAGCAUCCGUAGCCGGCUCUGUAAGUUUUCGGUUAAAUCUGUACGCUCAACGUACAGGCUGCCGGGAAUACUGCAGAGCUAGGGAGUGGGAGAGGUAGACGGUACUCGGUAGGAAGGGGUAAAAUCCUUUGAUCUAUUGAUGACCACCUGUGGCGAAGGCGGUCUACCAGAACACGUCCGACGGUGAGGGAUGAAAGCUGGGGGAGCAAACUGGAUUAGAUACCCGAGUAGUCC
RNAcentral lists this ribosomal RNA (270 nucleotides) under uncultured archaeon. RNAcentral describes it as "partial 16S ribosomal RNA". It matches the Rfam family "Archaeal small subunit ribosomal RNA", at positions 477 to 747 of the family's 1478-position model. The record is from RNAcentral.